GGGGUUGUGGCUCAGCGGUAGAGCACUCACCUAGCAUGUGUGAGGCCCUGGGUUCGAUCCUCAGCAUUCCA
This 71-nucleotide transfer RNA is filed under the name Marmota monax (woodchuck). It matches the Rfam family "tRNA". From Rfam's summary of the family: Transfer RNA (tRNA) molecules are approximately 80 nucleotides in length. Their secondary structure includes four short double-helical elements and three loops (D, anti-codon, and T loops). Lineage: Eukaryota; Metazoa; Chordata; Mammalia; Rodentia; Sciuridae. The record is from Rfam by way of RNAcentral.